UACGAAGGGGGCUAGCGUUGCUCGGAAUUACUGGGCGUAAAGGGUCCGUAGGCGGUGUGGCAAGUCGGGAGUGAAAUCUCUGGGCUUAACUCAGAGGCUGCUUCCGAAACUGCCGUGCUAGAGUGUGAGAGAGGCGAGUGGAAUUGCGGGUGUAGCGGUGAAAUGCGUAGAUAUCCGCAGGAACAUCCGAGGCGAAAGCGGCUCGCUGGAUCACAACUGACGCUGAGGGACGAAAGCUAGGGGAGCAAACAGG
This 253-nucleotide ribosomal RNA is filed under the name uncultured bacterium. RNAcentral describes it as "partial 16S ribosomal RNA". It matches the Rfam family "Bacterial small subunit ribosomal RNA", at positions 524 to 776 of the family's 1533-position model. The record is from RNAcentral.